Coregonus clupeaformis (lake whitefish) is the source of this 176-nucleotide long non-coding RNA. RefSeq lists it as uncharacterized. Lineage: Eukaryota; Metazoa; Chordata; Actinopteri; Salmoniformes; Salmonidae. The transcript has 3 exons. The record is from RefSeq and is a predicted model, not a curated record.
AUCAUUCCAGACUCUACUUCUAUUGAGAGACAUAUAAAAGGCUGGUUGAAUGAGUUGCCUAUAAAAGCUACUUCAUCUACAAGAGAACAGGCGACUGCACCAGCGACUGUAAGAAGUUAUGUGAUUUCCUCAUAUGAACGUGAAAGGGUCAGUGGUCUAAAAUGAGUCUCUCUGGG